Molecule: ribosomal RNA, 500 nt
Filed under: uncultured bacterium
Lineage: Bacteria
Description: partial 16S ribosomal RNA
Rfam family: Bacterial small subunit ribosomal RNA
Source: RNAcentral
AUUGAACGCUGGCGGAAUGCUUUACACAUGCAAGUCGAACGGCAGCACGGACUUCGGUCUGGUGGCGAGUGGCGAACGGGUGAGUAAUGUAUCGGAACGUGCCCAGUCGUGGGGGAUAACGUAGUGAAAAUUACGCUAAUACCGCAUACGAUCUAUGGAUGAAAGCGGGGGAUCGCAGGACCUCGCGCGCUUGGAGCGGCCGAUAUCAGAGUAGGUAGUUGGUGGGGUAAAGGCCCACCAAGCCAACGAUCUGUAGCUGGUCUGAGAGGACGACCAGCCACACUGGAACUGAGACACGGUCCAGACUCCUACGGGAGGCAGCAGUGGGGAAUUUUGGACAAUGGGCGAAAGCCUGAUCCAGCCAUUCCGCGUGCAGGAUGAAGGCCCUCGGGUUGUAAACUGCUUUUGUACAGAACGAAAAGGUUUCUACUAAUACUAGGAGCUCAUGACGGUACUGUAAGAAUAAGCACCGGCUAACUACGUGCCAGCAGCCGCCGUAA